GCAAAGAGCGGACAGAUUUCAAGCUUGGACUCUGAAGAAGGCAAUAGCUAUCAUGAUGAUGGACAAGCAUCAUUGGAAACCCCAGAGGUUCAAGGUAUAGGGAAGGUCGCAAGGCACCAAAGGGAAGAGGAUGGAAGAAAAAGAAAGAUGAUAAGAAAACUGCAGCACUGAGACAUCCCCAUCGCAGCACGUGGCUGGUAAGCACUAAAACUUGGCAAUAUGGGUUCAAGUUUACACUAAUACUUAGAAGGAACGAAAAUAAUAUUGAUUUCAGUUUAUUUUCUGUUUGCUGACCUAUUGAGCAGUGUUGCCUGGGUUGGGAGAAAACAGAAAUUACUUAUUUUAUUCUCAAUAACUUCUAGCUCCUAGAACCUUCCAGAACCUGAGCCCUCUUUCAUCUGCAGCCUCCUGCGUAUUGGCAGGCACUGGUGUUUGUUCCUGGCACUGCUGC
RNAcentral lists this long non-coding RNA (451 nucleotides) under Sus scrofa (pig). RNAcentral describes it as "lncRNA (ENSSSCG00070015726.1)". Lineage: Eukaryota; Metazoa; Chordata; Mammalia; Artiodactyla; Suidae. The record is from RNAcentral.